This 428-nucleotide ribosomal RNA is filed under the name uncultured bacterium. RNAcentral describes it as "partial 16S ribosomal RNA". It matches the Rfam family "Bacterial small subunit ribosomal RNA", at positions 354 to 796 of the family's 1533-position model. The record is from RNAcentral.
GUGGGGAAUAUUGGGCAAUGGGGGAAACCCUGACCCAGCAACGCCGCGUGAAGGAAGAAGGCUUUCGGGUUGUAAACUUCUUUGACCAGGGACGAAACAAAUGACGGUACCUGGAAAACAAGCCACGGCUAACUACGUGCCAGCAGCCGCGGUAAUACGUAGGUGGCAAGCGUUGUCCGGAUUUACUGGGUGUAAAGGGCGCGUAGGCGGGAUGGCAAGUCAGAUGUGAAAUGCCGGGGCUUAACCUCGGCACUGCAUUUGAAACUGCUGUUCUUGAGUAUCGGAGAGGCAGGCGGAAUUCCUAGUGUAGCGGUGAAAUGCGUAGAUAUUAGGAGGAACACCAGUGGCGAAGGCGGCCUGCUGGACGACAACUGACGCUGAUGCGCGAAAGCGUGGGGAGCAAACAGGAUUAGAAACCCGAGUAGUCC